GUGGGGAAUCUUAGACAAUGGGGGAAACCCUGAUCUAGCCAUGCCGCGUGAGCGAUGAAGGCCUUAGGGUUGUAAAGCUCUUUCAGCUGGGAAGAUAAUGACGGUACCAGCAGAAGAAGCCCCGGCUAACUCCGUGCCAGCAGCCGCGGUAAUACGGAGGGGGCUAGCGUUGUUCGGAAUUACUGGGCGUAAAGCGCGCGUAGGCGGACCAGAAAGUUGGAGGUGAAAUCCCAGGGCUCAACCUUGGAACUGCCUUCAAAACUCCUGGUCUGGAGUUCGAGAGAGGUGAGUGGAAUUCCGGGUGUAGAGGUGAAAUUCGUAGAUAUUCGGAGGAACACCAGUGGCGAAGGCGGCUCACUGGCUCGAUACUGACGCUGAGGUGCGAAAGCGUGGGGAGCAAACAGGAUUAGAAACCCGGGUAGUCC
Molecule: ribosomal RNA, 425 nt
Filed under: uncultured bacterium
Lineage: Bacteria
Description: partial 16S ribosomal RNA
Rfam family: Bacterial small subunit ribosomal RNA
Source: RNAcentral